GACGGAGGGUGCUAGCGUUGUUCGGAAUCACUGGGCGUAAAGGGCGCGUAAGGCGGCCUCAGGUGUCGGAUGUGAAAGCCCGGGGCUCAACCCCGGAGGUGCAUCCGAAACUCUGGGGCUGGAGGUCGGAAGAGGAGGGUGGAAUACCCAGUGUAGAGUGAAAUCGUAGAUAUUGGGUGGAACACCGGUGGCGAAAGCGGCUCUCUGGUCCGGACCUGACGCUGAGGAGCGAAAGCGUGGGGAGCGAACAGGA
RNAcentral lists this ribosomal RNA (253 nucleotides) under uncultured bacterium. Its description in RNAcentral is "partial 16S ribosomal RNA". It matches the Rfam family "Bacterial small subunit ribosomal RNA", at positions 524 to 777 of the family's 1533-position model. The record is from RNAcentral.